Molecule: long non-coding RNA, 339 nt
Organism: Centruroides sculpturatus (bark scorpion)
Lineage: Eukaryota; Metazoa; Arthropoda; Arachnida; Scorpiones; Buthidae
Exons: 3
Source: RefSeq, a predicted model, not a curated record
GAAAUUUUCAACUUGAAAAAUUGAGUGCUGAUGGAAUAGAAAAUUUGCAGCCUGUUUAUGGAAAGCAGGUGGUGAACUAGGAGUUAAAAGUAAAGAAAAAAGAAGAGAUAAAAUUAGAAAACAGAAACAUAUAAGAAUUUUUAUUUUUAUCAAAAUAGAAAUGUUCAUCCUUGACUGUUAGUUCUUUACAUAGAAAAAGGAAGAGAUCUCUUAGAAGGUUCAGCUGAAAUCUGAAAAAGAAGGCAAAAAGCAGGCAUGAAUUACAAGGGACAAGAAGAAGUGAAGGAGAAAAUUUAGAGGUUACGGCCGACGUUUUCGAUGCGAAAACGUGUAUGUCAG